This 393-nucleotide unclassified non-coding RNA is filed under the name rhizosphere metagenome. RNAcentral describes it as "partial ribosomal RNA internal transcribed spacer region". The record is from RNAcentral.
GUAGGUGAACCUGCGGAAGGAUCAUUAACACGUAUCCAACGUUAAAAACCCCGUGAACCUUUAUUCGCCGCUCCCACGGCUCAGUCGCGUAAAGCUAGCAAUCCCUGUACUCGUCCGAGAAAUGUAAGGAGGAGGGACUUCUGGCAGUGCACCGUGGUUUCAGAGCGCUUGGUUAGUGGCUUGUUUUUCCCCAAGCAAUCAGUGAGUGACAGUGUCAUUGAUUGUCUAAGGAUUUCGCUUAGCGAUCACUAGAGGUCGAUCACCGACCGGUGGAUCAAGUCACAGGGCUUCGGCUCCCUCCCCAACCCCACUUCCUAUUGCCGCUCCGCGCUAACAACGCCGGGCAUUUAAAAACGUACUAAACAACUGUUAACAAUGGAUAUCUUGGUUCUC